UACGAAGGGGGCUAGCGUUGCUCGGAAUUACUGGGCGUAAAGCGCACGUAGGCGGUCUUUUAAGUCGGUGGUGAAAUCCUGGAGCUCAACUCUGGAACUGCCUUCGAAACUAGAGGACUUGGGUACGGGAGAGGUGAGUGGAAUUCCGAGUGUAGAGGUGAAAUUCGUAGAUAUUCGGAAGAACACCAGUGGCGAAGGCGGCUCACUGGCCCGUUACCGACGCUCAGGCGCGACAGCGUGGGGAGCAAACAGG
RNAcentral lists this ribosomal RNA (253 nucleotides) under uncultured bacterium. RNAcentral's name for it is "partial 16S ribosomal RNA". It matches the Rfam family "Bacterial small subunit ribosomal RNA", at positions 524 to 776 of the family's 1533-position model. The record is from RNAcentral.